GAUGAACGCUGGCGGCGUGCCUAAUACAUGCAAGUCGAGCGAACGGACGAGAAGCUUGCUUCUCUGAUGUUAGCGGCGGACGGGUGAGUAACACGUGGAUAACCUACCUAUAAGACUGGGAUAACUUCGGGAAACCGGAGCUAAUACCGGAUAAUAUUUUGAACCGCAUGGUUCAAAAGUGAAAGACGGUCUUGCUGUCACUUAUAGAUGGAUCCGCGCUGCAUUAGCUAGUUGGUAAGGUAACGGCUUACCAAGGCAACGAUACAUAGCCGACCUGAGAGGGGGAACGGCAGCAUUAGGACAGAGACAGGGACCAAGAGACGACGGGAGGCAGCAGGAGGGAAUAUGAGGAAAUGGGCGAAAGUCUGAGCGAGCAAAGAAGAGUAAGUAAAGAAGGUUUUAGGAUCGUAAAACUCUGUUGGUAGAGAAAAACGUUAGUGAGAGUGGAAAGAUGAGCAAGUGAAGGAAACUAGCAAGAAAGGGACGGAUAACUAAGU
Molecule: ribosomal RNA, 497 nt
Filed under: uncultured bacterium
Lineage: Bacteria
Description: partial 16S ribosomal RNA
Rfam family: Bacterial small subunit ribosomal RNA
Source: RNAcentral